Molecule: unclassified non-coding RNA, 258 nt
Filed under: Zea mays
Lineage: Eukaryota; Viridiplantae; Streptophyta; Magnoliopsida; Poales; Poaceae
Description: misc RNA Zm00001eb067050
Source: RNAcentral
CUGGUGAGUUGCCGCUUAAAGUUCCAUGCGAACAAGUGUUGGGAGGACACGGACAGAGCAACAGACAAGCAGCACGCACUGACCUGGAAGCAGCCCUGCUCGCGGCACGCUCUGGUAAUGUCCUGGAUGGCGAGCGCCCGCGUGGCCGGGUCCUUCCCGAGCCUGCCAAGGUUGAUGACCGGCAGCUGCCGCGGCGAGGGCGAGGACGAGGACGGCGCCGUCCGCUGCACCUGGCCCGCCAUGGAUGCUGACUUUUAG